AAGGUCAAAACAUACAAGAGAAAGUGUGUAUGUGAGUUGUAAUUCUCAUUUUCUAAGUAGUGUAGUACUUAGCUUUUUGAGAGAAUCUCUGCCUUUUUCUUUUGUGUCAUUCUCUUUGCAUACUUAGUCGUUGGACGCGAAGGUCCGGACUAGCAACAUGGACGAAGGUUUGUCCAUCUUCGAGCAGGAAGGCGGGCGCCGCACGGGCUUUGCGAACAGAAACGCUAAGGCCGUGCCAAUAGGCUCCGCAACUAGUUUGGACCCCGGAAGUUGCCAAUUUGGCUUUGGAACUCAACAUCCAAUAACCUAAAAAACUCAACAUUUAAUCAUAGAAUCGGCUCAAAAUCUGACUUGACAUAAUCCAGUAGAAAAUACUUUUUGUUUAAAAAAUUAACUCUCGAUAAUCUUUGUUACGCUAUGUAAAAAUAUAUUUUUUUUAUGAGCAGAGAUACUACACUAUCGAAAGUAUAGAUGAUCUGGUGCUUCCGACUUUGGCCUUUAAAUCAGCUUCUUUAAUUAUUUCUAACCUUUGGAUUAAUAUUAUUGCCCUGUAGGGACCACUCAACCCUAAGAGUACUACUCAACUCUACGGGGAACUGCAAUCAUCACAAUUGUAUUCUUUAAUUAUUUCUAACCUUUGGAUUAAUACUAUUACCCUGUAGGGACCACUCAACCCUAAGGGUACUACUCAACCCUACGGGGAACUGCAAUAUCCCAAUCGUAUAAUUCUUGAUCCAAAAGCUAAAAAAUCGGAAGCAUAAAAUUCUCUAUACUUCCGAUAGUAUAGUAGCUCUACACUUUUUUUAUUGACUUUUGAUACUUUGUAAAAUUGCUGAACGCAUGAACUUAGACUACGUUUCUUACACCGAAUUUAAUUUAAAAUCAGAAAUACAAAGUCAUUAAUAACUUUUCUUUCUCCAAAAACACCAAGUACUUUUUCUUAUUUCUUCUAGAAAAUAACUUAACAUACAUAAUUUGUUCUUGAUAA
This 988-nucleotide long non-coding RNA is filed under the name Ananas comosus (pineapple). RNAcentral describes it as "long non-coding RNA (ACOM_LNC003022)". Lineage: Eukaryota; Viridiplantae; Streptophyta; Magnoliopsida; Poales; Bromeliaceae. The record is from RNAcentral.